This 253-nucleotide ribosomal RNA is filed under the name uncultured bacterium. RNAcentral's name for it is "partial 16S ribosomal RNA". It matches the Rfam family "Bacterial small subunit ribosomal RNA", at positions 524 to 776 of the family's 1533-position model. The record is from RNAcentral.
UACGGGGGGGGCAAGCGUUGUUCGGAAUUACUGGGCGUAAAGGGCUCGUAGGCGGCCAACUAAGUCAGACGUGAAAUCCCUCGGCUUAACUGGGGAACUGCGUCUGAUACUGGAUGGCUUGAGUUUGGGAGAGGGACGCGGAAUUCCAGGUGUAGCGGUGAAAUGCGUAGAUAUCUGGAGGAACACCGGUGGCGAAAGCGGCGUCCUGGACCAACACUGACACUGAGGAGCGAAAGCCAGGGGAGCAAACGGG